CCCCUUUUACCUGCAGCUACCAUCCUAUAGAUCUCCUUGCUAAGCACACCAAUCUUCCAGAUGCACAUCUAAUUUUCAAGCCUAGUCCAUGGAGGACCUCUUUGCUGGUUUUUAGAUUAUGUUAACCUAAAAUCAGUAUGAUUUGCGGGUCUAUUGAAACCAUGGCGUGCUACUAAUUUUGAAUUGGAACAAAAAAGUGUUUUUGUUUACCUCGGAAUCAUCAUUGAAUUUAAUCUCAGUAAGUGUCAUAUCAUACAAUUAUUAUGACCAAAUUAAUAUGUAUAAGCUUAUGCGAUGCUAGAUGAUUCGCAACGUCAUAAUUGAAUGGCCAGGAGAAAUCUUUUCUUGCGUGGCUAUGGUUACUAAAUUUUCAAAUCUACACGAGUGGACAUUUGA
RNAcentral lists this long non-coding RNA (396 nucleotides) under Nicotiana benthamiana. RNAcentral describes it as "long non-coding RNA (NBEN_LNC040667)". The record is from RNAcentral. Lineage: Eukaryota; Viridiplantae; Streptophyta; Magnoliopsida; Solanales; Solanaceae.